RNAcentral lists this ribosomal RNA (253 nucleotides) under uncultured bacterium. RNAcentral describes it as "partial 16S ribosomal RNA". It matches the Rfam family "Bacterial small subunit ribosomal RNA", at positions 524 to 776 of the family's 1533-position model. The record is from RNAcentral.
UACGGAGGGUGCGAGCGUUGUCCGGAAUCACUGGGCGUAAAGCGCGCGUAGGCGGCCCUGUAAGUCCGUUGUGAAAGUCAAAGGCUCAACCUUUGAAAGCCGAUGGAUACUGCAGGGCUAGAGUCCGGAAGAGGCGAGUGGAAUUCCUGGUGUAGCGGUGAAAUGCGCAGAUAUCAGGAGGAACACCGGUGGCGAAGGCGGUUCUCUGGGCAUUACCUGACGCUGAGGAGCGAAAGUGUGGGGAGCGAACAGG